RNAcentral lists this ribosomal RNA (498 nucleotides) under uncultured bacterium. RNAcentral describes it as "partial 16S ribosomal RNA". It matches the Rfam family "Bacterial small subunit ribosomal RNA", at positions 30 to 523 of the family's 1533-position model. The record is from RNAcentral.
AUUGAACGCUGGCGGCAUGCCUUACACAUGCAAGUCGAACGGUAACAGGUCUUCGGAUGCUGACGAGUGGCGAACGGGUGAGUAAUACAUCGGAACGUGCCUAGUAGUGGGGGAUAACUACUCGAAAGAGUGGCUAAUACCGCAUGAGAUCUACGGAUGAAAGCAGGGGAUCGCAAGACCUUGCGCUACUAGAGCGGCCGAUGGCAGAUUAGGUGGUUGGUGGGAUAAAAGCUUACCAAGCCGACGAUCUGUAGCUGGUCUGAGAGGACGAUCAGCCACACUGGGACUGAGACACGGCCCAGACUCCUACGGGAGGCAGCAGUGGGGAAUUUUGGACAAUGGGCGCAAGCCUGAUCCAGCAAUGCCGCGUGCAGGAUGAAGGCCUUCGGGUUGUAAACUGCUUUUGUACGGAACGAAAAGCCCCGGGUUAAUACCCUGGGGUCAUGACGGUACCGUAAGAAUAAGCACCGGCUAACUACGUGCCAGCCGCCGCAGUAA